GACGAACGCUGGCGGCGUGCUUAACACAUGCAAGUCGAACGGAAAGGCCCUGCUUUUGUGGGGUGCUCGAGUGGCGAACGGGUGAGUAACACGUGAGUAACCUGCCCUUGACUUUGGGAUAACUUCAGGAAACUGGGGCUAAUACCGGAUAGGAGCUCCUGCUGCAUGGUGGGGGUUGGAAAGUUUCGGCGGUUGGGGAUGGACUCGCGGCUUAUCAGCUUGUUGGUGGGGUAGUGGCUUACCAAGGCUUUGACGGGUAGCCGGCCUGAGAGGGUGACCGGCCAAAUGGGGACUGGGAUACGGCCCAGCCCCCUACGGGGGGGAGCAGGGGGGAAUAUUGCACAAUGGGCGGAAGCCUGAUGCAGCAACGCCGGGGGCGGGAUGACGGCCUUCGGGUUGUAAACCGCUUUCGCCUGUGACGAAGCGUGAGUGACGGUAAUGGGUAAAGAAGCACCGGCUAACUACGU
Molecule: ribosomal RNA, 467 nt
Filed under: uncultured bacterium
Lineage: Bacteria
Description: partial 16S ribosomal RNA
Rfam family: Bacterial small subunit ribosomal RNA
Source: RNAcentral